Molecule: long non-coding RNA, 913 nt
Organism: Ictalurus punctatus (channel catfish)
Lineage: Eukaryota; Metazoa; Chordata; Actinopteri; Siluriformes; Ictaluridae
Source: Ensembl
GUAUAGAUAUAGCUAUCUAGAUGGAGAAUUGAUUGCAUUGCUGCCAUUUUGAAGAGGUGUUUGGAGCAGUGUUUGGAGCAGUGUUUGGAGCAUGGCGAGGUGUUUUGGAGCAGCAUUCAGUGGACCCCAUUCAACACCAAACAACAAGGCAUUGCUUCUCAUAAUUGUUGACAUCCAUUACUCGAGGGGUUUCAGAUGAGAAGAGAAGAUGAUGGGAGGAUGAUGAAGGUCAGGAAAGUCAUCUGACGUCCUGCUGACAUCCACGAUCCGUCCCCAGGGCUCCUGCACACACCGGAGCAAUCAUCACAGAUAAAACGUCCUCACGCUGGGGUUUAUGGGCGCCAUUAUCAGAAAUCGCAUGAGGAAGCAGGAGACGUCGGGACACACUCGGGAUCCUGUUCAGGGAACACUGGAAUACAUCCACGGCAGCGUUUACAAUCAGUUUAGCGUAACUCGACCUACUGGAACGUUUUUGGAUAGCGGGUGGAAACUGGAGAACCAGGAGGAAACCCACAUGGACGCUACGUGAAGCUGUGCAGAGAGAGUAACCUGAGAGAACUCUGUCCUGAAGGUGUCAGAAAACUUAACGUUACAUCUCCUUCUUGGGAAGAAAACGUCACCAUAUCGGCGCUUUUUAAUCCGUUUAUCAUCAGCGGAACGUCUACUCUACACGUCCCGGUGAAUGGGUUGUUACUACAGAAGCGGUAACCGUAUUCGAACGAGUGCAUUUAAUAUUAACGUAAAUUUGCAGCGCUGUCCGAACCGCAGCUCUAGAAAAUGAAUCGACACCUUCUGAACGAUCACAAUCCAGAAUCCAGCAGCGCUGUGGAAUAGAUCAGCUAAAAUAAAACGGAGCGCACGUUCUGAAAAGCGAAUUAAUCAGUCGUCGUUUUUCCUCAGUUUUCAUGCUGGG